RNAcentral lists this ribosomal RNA (2203 nucleotides) under human gut metagenome. RNAcentral's name for it is "bacterial LSU rRNA". It matches the Rfam family "Bacterial large subunit ribosomal RNA", at positions 214 to 2495 of the family's 2925-position model. The record is from RNAcentral.
AGGAAGAGAAAUCAACCGAGAUUCCGCUAGUAGUGGCGAGCGAACGCGGAAGAGGCCAAACCGGAGGUAGCAAUAUUUCCGGGGUUAGGACUGCAACAUGUAACUUUAAUCUUUAACUGAAUGCUUUGGGAAGAGCAGCAAUAUAGGGUGAUAGCCCCGUAAGUGAAAAGGAUUGAGUGCUAGCAGUAUCCAGAGUACCAGCGGACACGUGAAACCCGCUGGGAAGAUGGGGGGACCAUCCUCCAAGCCUAAAUACUACUCAGUGACCGAUAGUGGAGCAGUACCGUGAGGGAAAGGUGAAAAGUACCCCGGGAGGGGAGUGAAAAAGAACCUGAAACCUUGUGCCUACAAGCACCGAGAGCACGUUAAAGUGUGAUCGGGUACUUUUUGUAGAACGGUCCGGCGAGUUAAUAUUUGCAGCGAGGUUAAGGAACUGGAGUUCCGGAGCCGCAGCGAGAGCGAGUCUGAAAAGGGCGUAUGAAGUUGCAGGUAUUAGACCCGAAACCGGGUGACCUAUCCAUGAGCAGGCUGAAGCGGUGGUAAGACACCGUGGAGGGCCGCACCCACGUCUGUUGAAAAAGCCGGGGAUGACUUGUGGAUAGCGGAGAAAUUCCAAUCGAACUCGGAGAUAGCUGGUUCUCCCCGAAAUAGCUUUAGGGCUAGCGUUAUUUUAGAUUACCGGAGGUAAAGCACUGAAUGGUCUAGGGGCCGCGAGGUUACCAAAGCCUAUCAAACUCUGAAUGCCGGAUAAUUGAUGAAUAGCAGUCAGACUGUGUGAGAUAAGUCUCAUAGUCAAAAGGGAAACAGCCCAGAUCUACAGCUAAGGUCCCAAAUGAACACUAAGUGGAAAAUGAUGUGAAACUGCGAAGACAACCAGGAUGUUGGCUUAGAAGCAGCCACUCAUUCAAAGAGUGCGUAAUAGCUCACUGGUCGAGUGGUUUUGCGCAGAAAAUGUAACGGGGCUAAGUGUUCAACCGAAGCUUAGGCAUUGCAGUAAUGCAUUGGGUAGGGGAGCGUCGUAUGCGGGGCGAAGUCAGAGCGGAAGCACUGGUGGACUGCAUACGAGUGAGAAUGCCGGAAUAAGUAGCGAGAAUUAUGUGAGAAUCAUAAUGGCCGAAAAUCUAAGGUUUCUUGGGGAAGGUUCGUCCGCCCAAGGUUAGUCGGGAGCUAAGCUCAGGCCGAAAGGCGUAGGCGAUGCACAUACGGUAGAAAUUCCGUAACCACCGAACAUUUAAGCUAGAGGGACGCUUUCUUUAAGGUUAUCCCGGGCGAUGGUUGCCCCGGGCGUAAGGGACCGAAAUAUAGUAGGGAAGUAACUGGCGAGAGAGACGAGAAAAGCUCUAGUGUAUACUAAGGUGCCCGUACCGCAAACCGACACAGGUAGAUGGGAUGAGUAUUCUAAGGCCAACGGGAGAAGGGUUGUUAAGGAACUCGGCAAAUUGGCCCCGUAACUUCGGGAUAAGGGGCGCCUGCGAGAGCAGGCCGCAGUGAAAAGGCCCAAGCGACUGUUUAGCAAAAACACAGCUCUCUGCUAAAUCGAAAGAUGACGUAUAGGGGGUGACGCCUGCCCGGUGCUGGAAGGUUAAGGGGAGUGCUUAGCGCAAGCGAAGGUGCGAACUUAAGCCCCAGUAAACGGCGGCCGUAACUAUAACGGUCCUAAGGUAGCGAAAUUCCUUGUCAGGUAAGUUCUGACCCGCACGAAUGGCGUAACGAUUUGGGCACUGUCUCAACAGCCCGCCCGGCGAAAUUGUAGUACCGGUGAAGAUGCCGGUUUCCCGCAACUAGACGGAAAGACCCCAUGGAGCUUCACUGUAGCUUGAUAUUGGAUCUCGGUAUUCCAUGUACAGGAUAGGUGGGAGACUUGGAAGUAAGCGCGCCAGCGUUUAUGGAGUCAACCUUGGGAUACCACUCUUGGGAUAUUGGGAUUCUAACCUGCGACCAUGAAUCUGGUCGGGGGACACUGUCAGGUGGGCAGUUUGACUGGGGCGGUCGCCUCCAAAAGAGUAACGGAGGCGCUCAAAGGUUCGUUCAGCACGGAUGGAAAUCGUGCACUGAGUGUAAACGCAUAAACGAGCCUAACUGCGAGAAUGACGGUUCGAGCAGUAACGAAAGUUGGAGUUAGUGAUCCGGCGGUAUGUGAAUGGAAAUGCCGUCGCUCAACGGAUAAAAGCUACCCUGGGGAUAACAGGCUGAUCUCCCCCAA